CUCCAGACAUGCUUACCUAGAAAUAUUAUGUUCAUUUCGAAACACUGAAAGGGAAAUAAACGAUGCCAUUGCCAACGCCCUCUGAAUUAGGAAACUUAGACCUUUAACACCAGAUAACUCCUGAUGCCACAUGUGACCCAAGGAGCAGCUGAGACUUCCAGUUUCCAUCUGAAUAUAAAAUAUAAAGAAAAUGACAACUUAUAUGGGAUUCUAUACUUUACAUAGUCCCUUCCCAUUACCAUCAGGAACAAAUAAUUGGUGAUCUGAUCUGGAAGAAUAAACUGAUCCCAGGAGGUAGAAGAAUCUAGAUGUUCUCUUUCAUAACUUUAUUAAAAUGGAAAUUGCAGCAUAACUUUACU
RNAcentral lists this long non-coding RNA (359 nucleotides) under Microcebus murinus (gray mouse lemur). RNAcentral describes it as "lncRNA (ENSMICG00000048659.1)". Lineage: Eukaryota; Metazoa; Chordata; Mammalia; Primates; Cheirogaleidae. The record is from RNAcentral.